Long non-coding RNA from Plodia interpunctella (Indianmeal moth), 1642 nucleotides. RefSeq lists it as uncharacterized. The transcript is spliced from 3 exons. Lineage: Eukaryota; Metazoa; Arthropoda; Insecta; Lepidoptera; Pyralidae. The record is from RefSeq and is a predicted model, not a curated record.
UCACGUAAAAACUCGCACCUUUCCUUUAAUUCUGAUGGAGGUAGUUGAAAAAUAGUGAUCAUUGAUAUAAUUAAAAAUAAACAAUGCCAAGCAAGACCAUUAGACACAUAAGGACUUAAAAUAUGACUGAAAUUGAAAUAGAAUGAUUUUGAAAGUUUGAAAGUUCAACCUGAGCAAAACUUUUCGAUGAUGUCUUUGUUGGCUACAAAGCCUUAUAAAACAGAACAUUCCCCGCUGCAGGAGGAAAAAUAAAACAUAAAAAGGCUUCGCUGCGGAGUGAAGCCGACCGUUGGAGUGUGUGCCGCGCCGCGCACACAGCCGCGUGGAGCUUACAGACUGUAUCCAUAUGAAGAAAACACUACGUCGAGACAUGCUAGUGUGUGCUGCACACUGCGCUGGUAUCUCCAUGCCGAGUAUACAUGUAAUAAUAUCAGGAGGCAAACGAGCACGUCAUUAUUCCGCUGGCAAGAAGGUCGGGGUGGCGACGGCAGGCGUCCUGGCGAAGACCGUCACGCACUCGCGUCAAACUAGUCUCAUGACGUCACGACCCGCCCGGCGAAAUUACAAAACCGGCCGGGCAGGCCGGGCGAGCGCGGUGCGAGCGGUGCGGCGCAGUGGCGGACGCACUGCCGCACGACCCCGACGCGCCAACAGUGUGACGUACCGUGGGCGGCGUCGCGACGCUGGGGCGCGCGCGGGGACUCGAGCACGCGGCGAGCGGCGCUACGGAGCGCGGGCGCAGGUGCUCUGAGCGCAACAGCCUCCGCGCGCCGGCGCCGCAGCCCUCCGCGCCCCUCGCCGCCCGCGCCUUCUCUCGCACGCACCAAAACGACGAAUUUAUCUUCCCCUCGCAGCAAGAGUUGCCGGCGCGCGGCGGCGGCGGCGUAGCCUGGGGCUAUGCCCGCUCCGCCCGCACCUCGCUCCUUGACUCUGAUCCAACGACGUUACUUCGCGUCGAUCUGAGCAGCUGUUACAAAACUGCAGUGGAAUUACCCAACUUUACGCAACUUCCCUUAUUGGACUUUCAUGUCACAAUAUAAAUAUAUCCAUACUUCCAUGCUAAUAUUGUAUAGAGAACAGAUUUGUAUUUUCGUUUGUGACGAUUAAACUCAAAAACUACUGGAUCCAUUUUGGCACAGAGAUUGGCGAAACUUUGAGGAGUAGUAUAGGCUACUUAUGCUAUGGUUUUAUCUGAGCGAAGCAGGGACGGGCCACUAGCAUUAUAAUAAAGGUGAACAACAGAAUACAUAUCCGCGAGCUUAACUUACUUAGUAAAGAAAUAGAACUAGUCCUAUUUAUUUAGUCGUAAGGGUUGUGAACUUUCCAAGGUGGUAUAUCCAAUAAAUUCUGAACAUAUCUAUUUUAGUUAAUUCUAGUGGGUGGUCCCUGGGGUGGUGGUGGCUUCCCUCGGGUAAAAACACAAUAAAUUAUACCUACACCUUUUCUGUCGAUUUUGAGAACCUAAUACAUUUUAGUACCUAUAUUUUCCUUAUCAAUAUGCAUUCAUAUAAAUUCAUUGAAGAUUACAUCCACAUUUAAAAUAUCUAUACAUUAAACUACAAUUAAUAAAAAACAUUAAAACUUAAUUUCAAAUAUACCAUUCCCUGCAGUUCGUCGUGCCCAGAAAUCUGACAGUAUACAA